UCUCAAAGAUUAAGCCAUGCAUGUCUAAGUAUAAACACCUUUAUACAGUGAAACUGCGAAUGGCUCAUUAAAUCAGUUAUAGUUUAUUUGAUAGUACCUCACUACAUGGAUAACCGUAGUAAUUCUAGAGCUAAUACAUGCGAAAAGACCCGACUUCUGGAAGGGUUGUAUUUAUUAGAUAAAAAACCAAUGCGGAGCAAUCCGGUUUUUGGUGAAUCAUAAUAACUUAACGGAUCGCAUGGCCUCGUGCCGGCGAUAGUUCAUUCAAAUUUCUGCCCUAUCAACUUUCGAUGGUACGGUAUUGGCCUACCAUGGUUACAACGGGUAACGGGGAAUA
RNAcentral lists this ribosomal RNA (337 nucleotides) under uncultured fungus. RNAcentral describes it as "SSU rRNA". It matches the Rfam family "Eukaryotic small subunit ribosomal RNA", at positions 35 to 371 of the family's 1831-position model. Lineage: Eukaryota; Fungi. The record is from RNAcentral.